ACGCGAGACCUUACCAGGUCUUGACAUCACCUAGCAAGCCAUGGAAACAUGGCCCUCCUUCGGGACUGGGUGACAGGUGGUGCAUGGUUGUCGUCAGCUCGUGUCGUGAGAUGUUGGGUUAAGUCCCGCAACGAGCGCAACCCUUGCCUUUAGUUGCCAGCAUUAAGUUGGGGACUCUAAAGGGACUGCCGGCGACAAGUCGGAGGAAGGUGGGGAUGACGUCAAAUCAUCAUGCCCCUUAUGAUCUGGGCUACACACGUGCUACAAUGGGUGGUACAGAGGGAAGCGAAGCUGUGAGGCGGAGCGAAUCCCAGAAAGCCACUCUCAGUUCGGAUUGCAGGCUGCAACUCGCCUGCAUGAAGUCGGAAUCGCUAGUAAUCGCGGGUCAGCAUACCGCGGUGAAUACGUUCCCGGGCCUUGCACACACCGCCCGU
This 434-nucleotide ribosomal RNA is filed under the name uncultured bacterium. Its description in RNAcentral is "bacterial SSU rRNA". It matches the Rfam family "Bacterial small subunit ribosomal RNA", at positions 961 to 1397 of the family's 1533-position model. RNAcentral also lists the same sequence under 1 other name. The record is from RNAcentral.